GGGCCCGCACAAGCGGUGGAGCAUGUGGUUUAAUUCGAUGAUACGCGAGGAACCUUACCAGGGCUUAAAUGUAGUGGGACAGGUCUAGAGAUAGACCCUUCUUCGGACUCAUUACAAGGUGCUGCAUGGUUGUCGUCAGCUCGUGCCGUGAGGUGUCAGGUUAAGUCCUAUAACGAGCGCAACCCUACUCGUUAGUUGCCAGCGGGUAAUGCCGGGAACUCUAGCGAAACUGCCGGUGCAAACCGUGAGGAAGGUGGGGAUGACGUCAAAUCAUCACGGCCCUUACGUCCUGGCUACACACGUGCUACAAUGGCCGAGACAAAGAGCAGCAAGUUUGCAAAGACAAGCC
RNAcentral lists this ribosomal RNA (349 nucleotides) under uncultured bacterium. RNAcentral describes it as "bacterial SSU rRNA". It matches the Rfam family "Bacterial small subunit ribosomal RNA", at positions 917 to 1269 of the family's 1533-position model. The record is from RNAcentral.